This 830-nucleotide small RNA is filed under the name Pongo abelii (Sumatran orangutan). RNAcentral's name for it is "retained intron". The record is from RNAcentral. Lineage: Eukaryota; Metazoa; Chordata; Mammalia; Primates; Hominidae.
AUGGCGAGGACACCGACAAGCAAGUCUUCGCCCGUAAGCGGUGGCUCACGCCUAUAGUCCAGGGAUGCCGAGGAGGGAGGAUCGCUUGAGUCCAGGAGUUGGAGGCUGCAGUGAGCCGUGAUCGCGCCACUGCACGCCAGCCUGGGCGACAGAGUGAGACCCUAUCUCUAAACAAAAGAAAGAACGUCUUCAAGCAUGGAGCCAUGAAGCUGGAUUUGGCUUUCUGUCGCUCUCUCUACAGGACAGUGACAAGGCCCUCCCCUCCCUUGGGCUGGACCCCUCUCUACAGCUAGGAGCCAAUGGCAGAACACAGAACCAAACCCAGUGAGUUGGACCAAGGGAAGUAUGAUGCUGAUGACAACGUGAAGAUCAUCUGCCUGGGAGAUAGCGCAGUGGGCAAAUCCAAACUCAUGGAGAGAUUUCUCAUGGAUGGCUUUCAGCCACAGCAGCUGUCCACGUACGCCCUGACCCUGUACAAGCACACAGCCACGGUAGAUGGCAAGACCAUCCUUGUGGACUUUUGGGACACGGCAGGCCAGGAGCGGUUCCAGAGCAUGCAUGCGUCUUACUACCACAAGGCCCACGCCUGCAUCAUGGUGUUUGAUGUACAGAGGAAAGUCACCUAUAAGAACCUGAGCGCCUGGUAUACAGAGCUUCGGGAGUUCAGACCAGAGAUCCCAUGCCUCGUGGUGGCCAAUAAAAUUGACGGUGGGGCCAUCCUGCACGUGGGUGUUAGCAAUUCACUGGGGACCCGCCCUCACACAUUUCCUCCUCCAUUCCCCAGGCAGGCAACCUUCAGUGAUUGGUCCUCCCUCCCACGAUAAGAUACA